GACAGAGGGUGCAAACGUUGUUCGGAAUUACUGGGCGUAAAGCGCGUGUAGGCUGCAGGGCAUGUCGGAUGUGAAAUCCCGUGGCUCAACCACGGAAGUGCACCCGAAACUGCCCAGCUUGAGUCUCGGAGAGGAAGGCGGAAUGCUUGGUGUAGAGGUGAAAUUCGUAGAUAUCAAGCGGAACACCGGUGGCGAAGGCGGCCUUCUGGACGAUGACUGACGCUGAGACGCGAAAGCGUGGGGAGCAAACAGG
Molecule: ribosomal RNA, 253 nt
Filed under: uncultured bacterium
Lineage: Bacteria
Description: partial 16S ribosomal RNA
Rfam family: Bacterial small subunit ribosomal RNA
Source: RNAcentral